AGUGAACGCUGGCGGUAGGCCUAACACAUGCAAGUCGAACGGCAGCACAGUAAGAGCUUGCUCUUACGGGUGGCGAGUGGCGGACGGGUGAGGCAUACAUCGGAAUCUACUUUUUCGUGGGGGAUAACGUAGGGAAACUUACGCUAAUACCGCAUACGACCUACGGGUGAAAGCAGGGGAUCUUCGGACCUUGCGCGAUUGAAUGAGCCGAUGUCGGAUUAGCUAGUUGGCGGGGUAAAGGCCCACCAAGGCGACGAUACGUAGCUGGUCUGAGAGGAUGAUCAGCCACACUGGAACUGAGACACGGUCCAGACUCCUACGGGAGGCAGCAGUGGGGAAUAUUGGACAAUGGGCGCAAGCCUGAUCCAGCCAUACCGCGUGAGUGAAGAAGGCCUUCGGGUUGUAAAGCCCUUUUGUUGGGAAAGAAAAGCAGCAGGUUAAAACCCCGCUGUUCUGACGGUACCCAAAGAAUAAGCACCGGCUAACUUCGUG
This 492-nucleotide ribosomal RNA is filed under the name uncultured bacterium. Its description in RNAcentral is "partial 16S ribosomal RNA". It matches the Rfam family "Bacterial small subunit ribosomal RNA", at positions 29 to 507 of the family's 1533-position model. The record is from RNAcentral.